GACGAACGCUGGCGGCGUGCCUAAUACAUGCAAGUCGAACGCUUCUUUCCUCCCGAGUGCUUGCACUCCAUUGGAAAGAGGAGUGGCGGACGGGUGAGUAACACGUGGGUAACCUACCCAUCAGAGGGGGAUAACACUUGGAAACAGGUGCUAAUACCGCAUAACAGUUUAUGCCGCAUGGCAUAAGAGUGAAGGGCGCUUUCGGGUGUCGCUGAUGGAUGGACCCGCGGUGCAUUAGCUAGUUGGUGAGGUAACGGCUCACCAAGGCCACGAUGCAUAGCCGACCUGAGAGGGUGAUCGGCCACACUGGGACUGAGACACGGCCCAGACUCCUACGGGAGGCAGCAGUAGGGAAUCUUCGGCAAUGGACGAAAGUCUGACCGAGCAACGCCGCGUGAGUGAAGAAGGUUUUCGGAUCGUAAAACUCUGUUGUUAGAGAAGAACAAGGACGUUAGUAACUGAACGUCCCCUGACGGUAUCUAACCAGAAAGCCACGGCUAACUACGUG
RNAcentral lists this ribosomal RNA (508 nucleotides) under uncultured bacterium. Its description in RNAcentral is "partial 16S ribosomal RNA". It matches the Rfam family "Bacterial small subunit ribosomal RNA", at positions 28 to 507 of the family's 1533-position model. The record is from RNAcentral.